UGAGGAAUAUUGGUCAAUGGGGGCAACCCUGAACCAGCCAAGUCGCGUGAAGGAUGAAGGUCUUAUGGAUUGUAAACUUCUUUUAUACAGGAAUAAAUUGGGGGACGUGUCCCCUUUUGCAUGUACUGUAUGAAUAAGGAUCGGCUAACUCCGUGCCAGCAGCCGCGGUAAUACGGAGGAUCCGAGCGUUAUCCGGAUUUAUUGGGUUUAAAGGGUGCGCAGGCGGGAUGUUAAGUCGGCGGUGAAAUUUUGCAGCUCAACUGUAAAAGUGCCUUCGAUACUGGCCUCCUUGAGUGUGGAUGAAGUAGGCGGAAUUUGUGGUGUAGCGGUGAAAUGCUUAGAUAUCACGAGGAACUCCGAUUGCGCAGGCGGCUUACUAAGCCACAACUGACGCUCAUGCACGAAGGCGUGGGGA
Molecule: ribosomal RNA, 415 nt
Filed under: uncultured bacterium
Lineage: Bacteria
Description: bacterial SSU rRNA
Rfam family: Bacterial small subunit ribosomal RNA
Source: RNAcentral